Molecule: long non-coding RNA, 905 nt
Filed under: Homo sapiens (human)
Lineage: Eukaryota; Metazoa; Chordata; Mammalia; Primates; Hominidae
Description: HSALNT0334615
Source: RNAcentral
AGUAAAUGACAUUUUCUCCAUGACCUGUGAAUUAUCUUGCACUUUUGACAAAGGUAGAUUUUGAUUGCUUCUGGAAUCUGAACCAACCCCACAGACAUUUCUUCAGUGGCUGUGUGACUGUAUUCCAUUCUAGAAUCUAAGUAUUCUUUAGUAGCCAGCUUUCUACUACCAAAUCGAGUUCACAAUUCCAAGCAAGCUUCCAAUUUUCACAUUCAUUUUUUUAGUAUGAGGGUUUACUCAUCAGAUGGCAACAGAACAGCUUAAUAUCAAUAUUAGUCAUAAAUUAUUGAAUGAAUGCUCAGAGAUGGAUGUUAAAGUAACUGGAAAGAUGUGCUUUAAGACUUUUUAAGUGCCACCUUUUUUCUUUUACUUUCAGAAGACAGAAUAAGACCGAUGUAGUCGCCUUCCACAUGGCACUGCAGAGUCCCAAGACCAUGGUCCUCCUGAAUAGGAUAACUAAGGAAAAGACAAACUGAGGCUGUAUCCCAGACCAAGGCUGAGAUGGGAUCACCUAGCAAAAUAUGGCACAUUCCCAAGGAUGUAGUAGGAGUUUCUACCCCCCACAAGAAGAGUAGUUUUCUUGUAAGGGCAAAAUCAGACAGAUGGAGUAGAACAGAAGAGGAUGCCCCCAACCCAUCCAGAGUGAAGGAAAAAUUAGACACCAUGUAUGGAAUCUAUGCAGCUGAGUAUAUAUGUGGAUGAUUUAAUAGUAACACUUUCCACCACGUCUCCAGUGAAGAAAGUCAUGUUGACAUCCUAAUCAUUCCCAGAAAACAUUAAAAGCUCUAUGGCUUUUAAUACCUGUGUCCAUGUUUUCCUCUGACCCCACUAAUACAAUUUUUAAAGCACAAAUGGAUAACAACCAAAUAAGAAAGUUAUAAUGGGCUUUUGGGUUUACACAUCAU